UACGUAGGUGGCAAGCGUUGUCCGGAAUUACUGGGUGUAAAGGGCGUGUAGGCGGGAAUGUAAGUCAGUUGUGAAAUUCCGGGGCUUAACCUCGGAGCUGCAUCUGAAACUAUAUUUCUUGAGUGCUGGAGAGGAAAGCGGAAUUCCUAGUGUAGCGGUGAAAUGCGUAGAUAUUAGGAGGAACACCAGUGGCGAAGGCGGCUUUCUGGACAGUAACUGACGCUGAGGCGCGAAAGCGUGGGGAGCAAACAGG
Molecule: ribosomal RNA, 253 nt
Filed under: uncultured bacterium
Lineage: Bacteria
Description: partial 16S ribosomal RNA
Rfam family: Bacterial small subunit ribosomal RNA
Source: RNAcentral